RNAcentral lists this ribosomal RNA (644 nucleotides) under uncultured bacterium. RNAcentral describes it as "bacterial SSU rRNA". It matches the Rfam family "Bacterial small subunit ribosomal RNA", at positions 232 to 885 of the family's 1533-position model. The record is from RNAcentral.
CGCGGCCUAUCAGCUUGUUGGUGGGGUAGUGGCCUACCAAGGCGGCGACGGGUAGCCGGCCUGAGAGGGUGACCGGCCACAUUGGGACUGAGAUACGGCCCAGACUCCUACGGGAGGCAGCAGUGGGGAAUAUUGCACAAUGGGCGCAAGCCUGAUGCAGCAACGCCGCGUGCGGGAUGACGGCCUUCGGGUUGUAAACCGCUUUCAGCAGGGACGAAGCUUUUUGUGACGGUACCUGCAGAAGAAGCACCGGCUAACUACGUGCCAGCAGCCGCGGUGAUACGUAGGGUGCGAGCGUUGUCCGGAUUUAUUGGGCGUAAAGGGCUCGUAGGCGGUUGAUCGCGUCGGAAGUGGAAACUUGAUGCUUAACGUUGAGCGUGCUUUCGAUACGGGUUGACUUGAGGAAGGUAGGGGAGAAUGGAAUUCCUGGUGGAGCGGUGGAAUGCGCAGAUAUCAGGAGGAACACCAGUGGCGAAGGCGGUUCUUUGGACCUUUCCUGACGCUGAGGAGCGAAAGCGUGGGGAGCGAACAGGCUUAGAUACCCUGGUAGUCCACGCUGUAAACGGUGGGUACUAGGUGUGGGGUCCAUUCCACGGGUUCCGUGCCGUAGCUAACGCUUUAAGUACCCCGCCUGGGGAGUACGG